Molecule: transfer RNA, 58 nt
Filed under: Trichinella britovi
Lineage: Eukaryota; Metazoa; Nematoda; Enoplea; Trichinellida; Trichinellidae
Description: tRNA-Gly
Source: RNAcentral
UGUCACUUUAGUGUAAAUAUGGCAUGUAUGGCUUCCAACUAUAUGGUUUUGGUGAUAU